Molecule: long non-coding RNA, 406 nt
Organism: Suricata suricatta (meerkat)
Lineage: Eukaryota; Metazoa; Chordata; Mammalia; Carnivora; Herpestidae
Exons: 4
Source: RefSeq, a predicted model, not a curated record
GAGGGGGAUACAAUCCAUGCUUGCUCUCCUCACCCCUCAAGGUGGUUUGAGGGUCAGAAGACAAUCCUCUGCUGGACUAGAAAGGUCCAGCUCAGAUGUCACCUCUGUGAAGCCUUCCUGGAUCUCUUCCAAGUGGUGUAGCCACCCUCUGCUUUGGAUUCCCCGGGGCACACACUUGUCAAAUGAGAACCCCAGCCUGCUUUCUGGGACUGCAAGACUGCUGACAGCAAAGGGAUGAGAGACAGGAGGGGCUUGCUGUUGCUGACCUCAUGGACAAGAGCCACCUUCCCGUGCACAAGGAGACCUGCUGAGUGCCAACCAUCCUCAGGUACUAGGGUUCAGUCAGAUUCAAGACUGUCAUCAGGAAGCCCACAGAAGAGUAGAUGGAGACCCAAGUAAACAAGAA